This 248-nucleotide ribosomal RNA is filed under the name uncultured bacterium. RNAcentral's name for it is "partial 16S ribosomal RNA". It matches the Rfam family "Bacterial small subunit ribosomal RNA", at positions 523 to 769 of the family's 1533-position model. The record is from RNAcentral.
AUACGUAGGUGGCAAGCGUUGUCCGGAUUUACUGGGUGUAAAGGGCGUGCUAGCCGGGAAGGCAAGUCAGAUGUGAAAUCUGGGGGCUCAACCUCCAAACUGCAUUUGAAACUGCUUUUCUUGAGUAUCGGAGAGGUAAUCGGAAUUCCUUGUGUAGCGGUGAAAUGCGUAGAUAUAAGGAAGAACACCAGUGGCGAAGGCGGAUUACUGGACGACAACUGACGGUGAGGCGCGAAAGCGUGGGGAGC